Molecule: ribosomal RNA, 781 nt
Filed under: Acinetobacter sp. G2-5
Lineage: Bacteria; Pseudomonadati; Pseudomonadota; Gammaproteobacteria; Moraxellales; Moraxellaceae
Description: bacterial SSU rRNA
Rfam family: Bacterial small subunit ribosomal RNA
Source: RNAcentral
GGCGGACGGGUGAGUAAUGCUUAGGAAUCUGCCUAUUAGUGGGGGACAACAUUCCGAAAGGAAUGCUAAUACCGCAUACGCCCUACGGGGGAAAGCAGGGGAUCUUCGGACCUUGCGCUAAUAGAUGAGCCUAAGUCAGAUUAGCUAGUUGGUGGGGUAAAGGCCUACCAAGGCGACGAUCUGUAGCGGGUCUGAGAGGAUGAUCCGCCACACUGGGACUGAGACACGGCCCAGACUCCUACGGGAGGCAGCAGUGGGGAAUAUUGGACAAUGGGCGCAAGCCUGAUCCAGCCAUGCCGCGUGUGUGAAGAAGGCCUUUUGGUUGUAAAGCACUUUAAGCGAGGAGGAGGCUACCGAGAUUAAUACUCUUGGAUAGUGGACGUUACUCGCAGAAUAAGCACCGGCUAACUCUGUGCCAGCAGCCGCGGUAAUACAGAGGGUGCGAGCGUUAAUCGGAUUUACUGGGCGUAAAGCGUGCGUAGGCGGCUUUUUAAGUCGGAUGUGAAAUCCCUGAGCUUAACUUAGGAAUUGCAUUCGAUACUGGGAAGCUAGAGUAUGGGAGAGGAUGGUAGAAUUCCAGGUGUAGCGGUGAAAUGCGUAGAGAUCUGGAGGAAUACCGAUGGCGAAGGCAGCCAUCUGGCCUAAUACUGACGCUGAGGUACGAAAGCAUGGGGAGCAAACAGGAUUAGAUACCCUGGUAGUCCAUGCCGUAAACGAUGUCUACUAGCCGUUGGGGCCUUUGAGGCUUUAGUGGCGCAGCUAACGCGAUAAGUAGACCGCC